AGAGUUUGAUCCUGGCUCAGAGUGAACGCUGGCGGCGUGCUUAACACAUGCAAGUCGAACGCGAAAGUGUAGCAAUACAUGAGUAGAGUGGCGAACGGGUGAGUAAAGUGUGGGUAAUUUGCCUUCCAGAGGGGGAUAACCCGGCGAAAGCUGGGCUAAGACCGCGUAACAUUCAGUUGGUUAAGGCCGAUUGAAUCAAAACAUGGGGCUCCGCAAGGACCUAUGGCUGGGAGAUGAGCCCACAUCCUAUCACGCUUGUUGGUGGGGUAACGGCCUACCAAGGCGACGACGGGUAGCCGGCCUGAGAGGGUGUCCGGCCACACUGGAACUGAGACACGGUCCAGACUCCUACGGGAGGCAGCAGUGGGGAAUUUUUCGCAAUGGGCGCAAGCCUGACGAAGCAACGCCGCGUGGAGGAUGACGGCCCUCGCGGUCUUAAACUCCUGUCUAGCGGGACGAAAGAUUUGCGGUUAAAUAAACCGCAGAAGUGACUGUACCGCUGGAGGAAGCUCGGCCAACUUCGUGCCAGCAGCCGCGGUA
RNAcentral lists this ribosomal RNA (540 nucleotides) under uncultured Acidobacteriota bacterium. Its description in RNAcentral is "bacterial SSU rRNA". It matches the Rfam family "Bacterial small subunit ribosomal RNA", at positions 8 to 522 of the family's 1533-position model. Lineage: Bacteria; Pseudomonadati; Acidobacteriota. The record is from RNAcentral.